AAAGUUGAAGAUUUUACUCAGAGAUGGAAGAUGAAGUUUCGAAAGGAAAAUCCGACGAUGGUUGAUGUGGAAUUGGAUAUCUAUGGAUUAUGGGCUUAUGAUUCUGCAACUGCAUUAGCCAUGGCGGUAGAGAAAUCGAGAAUCAAUGGCGCCUUUUUUCGAAAACCAAAUGUUUCAGGAAAUGCAACAGAUCUUGAAGCUUUUGGAGUUUCCAGAGAUGGUCCAAAGCUUCUUAAAGCUAUACUAAACACUACUUUCAAAGGCCUUAGCGGAGACUUUCAACUUGUGGAUGGA
RNAcentral lists this unclassified non-coding RNA (294 nucleotides) under Hevea brasiliensis (rubber tree). The record is from RNAcentral. Lineage: Eukaryota; Viridiplantae; Streptophyta; Magnoliopsida; Malpighiales; Euphorbiaceae.